Molecule: ribosomal RNA, 324 nt
Filed under: uncultured Pseudomonas sp.
Lineage: Bacteria; Pseudomonadati; Pseudomonadota; Gammaproteobacteria; Pseudomonadales; Pseudomonadaceae
Description: bacterial SSU rRNA
Rfam family: Bacterial small subunit ribosomal RNA
Source: RNAcentral
CUCGUGUCGUGAGAUGUUGGGUUAAGUCCGUACGAGCGCAACCCUCGUCCUUAGUUACCAGCACGUUAUGGUGGGCGACUCUAAGGAGACUGCCUCGUGACAAACCGGAGGAAGGUGGGGAUGACGUCAAGUCAUCAUGGCCCUUACGGCCUGGGCUACGCACGUGCUACAAUGGUCGGUACAAAGGGUUGCCAAGCCGCGAGGUGGAGCUAAUCCCAUAAAACCGAUCGUAGUCCGGAUCGCAGUCUGCAACUCGACUGCGUGAAGUCGGAAUCGCUAGUAAUCGUGAAUCAGAAUGUCACGGUGAAUACGUUCCCGGGCCUU